Molecule: long non-coding RNA, 886 nt
Organism: Rosa chinensis
Lineage: Eukaryota; Viridiplantae; Streptophyta; Magnoliopsida; Rosales; Rosaceae
Exons: 3
Source: RefSeq, a predicted model, not a curated record
UGAUAUCACAACGGUCAGCCCCAAAUCUGGGUUGCACUUAGAUACUAGGGUUCUUCGAUUAAGAAUUCAACAAUCUAAACUUUUCUUCAAAACUUGUUGAAACCUUAAUCGAAUAACCUCAGCAUCUCCUAUUUUGCCUUUGGAUCGUCGCUGGUGACCAAACCUUCAUAAAGUUCUCAAACCCAGAAAGGGCAGCAGCCUGAAGAUAAGAUGCAAGGCCAUAUUAGGGAAGUUACUUGAGCUUGCAUUACAUUGUAUAGAGCUUUCUGAAUGGCAAAAUUUAUGGGAGAGACCAUGUUUCCAACAUCAAUGAACUGCAAGUGAAAGCAACUGUUGGCAUGAUAACUGUUGAAAAGUAAUUGACACUGGGAAGUUCUAAAUUAAUCUACUGUUGAAGAAUAGACAGCCAUAUAAAUACUUGUAUGGCAUGAGCUUCUUCUUCUGUCGUCUGAAAUAAAUCUUGUUUUUAUUUAAAUGUUAUGAUGGAGACUAGAAGGCGCUUGAAACAUCUAUCCAAUAUCGACGCUUCCUUAUCCCUCAGCCACCACCAUGUUAAUGUGACGACGAGGUGCGUACAAGCGACUCUCUUCAUGGGGAAGCGAAGCCAAAAAUCAUGACUGUUGCAGAUGGGAAGGAGUGUACUGUGGCCCCCUGACAGACCAUGUGAUUCAACUUCAUCUUGAAGGAGUCUCGUCACAAGGACUUUCAUCUUUGGAAGAAGUAGAUGCGUGCUUCCCUUGAGUUGAGGAGUCCACAGUUGCCAUGGACAACAAUAAAGCAAGUUUUCGAGGUUGGAGUGCAAGUUAAAUUCACAAUUAAGAGAUAAUUGAAGCCUAGCUAGUAACUAAUUUUUUUUUUUUCCCUGCUGCUUAAAAUACCAUUUGAU